AUGGCUCAGUGAGGCCUUGGGAUUGGCCAGGGGAGAUGGGCAACCAUCACCCCAGGCCGAAAACUUGGUCAAACUUGGUCAUUUAGAGGAAGUAAAAGUCGUAACAAGGUUUCCGUAGGUGAACCUGCGGAAGGAUCAUUACCGAGUUAGGGUUCUCUCCUGAGGCCCGACCUCCCAACCCUGUGUCUAACAAACCUGUGUGUGUUGCUUCGGUGGACCGGCAGUCCCCUCACGGGGGUCCGUCGCCGGGGGGAGAAACGGCCUCACGGCCCGCCCCUGGAGAGUGUCCGCCGAUGGCCCAACCAACAUAACAACUCCCAAACCCAAAAUAUUGUACGUAAAACUUCUGAAUCAGACCUUUUUUGAUGGACCAAAUCAAAAAUAAAACUUUCAACAACGGAUCUCUUGGUUCUGGCAUCGAUGAAGAACGCAGCGAAAUGCGAUAAGUAAUGCGAAUUGCAGAAUUUCCGUGAGUCAUCGAAUCUUUGAACGCACAUUGCGCCCUUUGGCAUUCCGAAGGGCAUGCCUGUUCGAGCGUCAUUAUCCUCUCUCAAACCUCGGGUUUGGUGUUGGACCGCGUUGGACCUGCCCAUGGCCAACUGGUCUCAAAGACAAUGACGGCGUCCCCGGGACCCUCUUCGCACUGAGCUUUUUGGAAGCACGCGUCGAGUUUCACGGGCCCAGGGACCCGGUCACCCCUAAAAACUUUUCAAGGUUGACCUCGGAUCAGGUAGGAAUACCCGCUGAACUUAAGCAUAUCAAUAAGCGGAGGAAAAGAAACCAACAGGGAUUGCCUCAGUAACGGCGAGUGAAGCGGCAACAGCUCAAAUUUGAAAUCUGGCCUCACGGUCCGAGUUGUAAUUUGUAGAGGAUGUUUUGGGCACCGCUCCGGGUUAAAUUUCUUGGAACAGAAUGUCAAAGAGGGUGAGAGUCCCGUCUUGGCCCGCGGUAGGACCUAUGUAAAACUCCUUCGACGAGUCGACUUGUUUGGGAAUGCAGGUCAAAAUGGGUGGUAAAUUUCAUCUAAAGCUAAAUAUUGGCCAGAGACCGAUAGCGCACAAGUAGAGUGAUCGAAAGAUGAAAAGCACUUUGAAAAGAGAGUUAAACAGUAUGUGAAAUUGUUGAAAGGGAAGCGCUGGCGACCAGACUCGAGCGCGGUGUUCCCCCUGGCUUCUGCCUGGGUUACUUCACCGUGACCGGGCCAUCAUCAGUUUUGGGGGUUGGUUAAAGAUUUGGGGAAUGUAUCCUCUCCUUCGGGGGAGGACUUAUAGCCCUGGAUGUCAUGCAGCCUCCCGGGACUGAGGAACGCGCUUCGGCGAGGAUGAUGGCGUAAUGGUUGUCAGCGACCCGUCUUGAAACACGGACCAAGGAGUCUAACAUCUAUGCGAGUGUUCGGGUGUCAAACCCUUGCGCGGAAUGAAAGUGAACGGAGGUAGGAAGGCUUGAGCCUGCACUAUCGACCGAUCCUGAUGUCUUCGGAUGGAUUUGAGUAAGAGCAUAGCUGUUGGGACCCGAAAGAUGGUGAACUAUGCGUGAAUAGGGUGAAGCCAGAGGAAACUCUGGUGGAGGCUCGCAGCGGUUCUGACGUGCAAAUCGAUCGUCAAAUUUGCGUAUAGGGGCGAAAGACUAAUCGAACCAUUGGUAAUCACUACUAGGUGGUUAAGAGUCGCGUGUGAAAAGCACCGGCUAGUCGCGAGUCCGCGGCAAGGUCGUCAAAUUGCGGGAACACCCUAAAGCCUGAGGUACCGCCGACCGGCCCGAAAGGGCGGUGAGGCACCACGGAGAGAUUUCGUGGGUAUGGUAACAAUCCAAGGGAUGGCCUAGGCAAACCCUAGACCGCUGUUAAUGGGCAAUCCGCAGCCAAGCCUGUCCCUCCCCCUCCGGGGGGCGGAGAUUGGGUGCAGUUCAUCGACUAGAUGUCGACCGGGUUCCAGGCCGAUCGAAGCCUGGAGCCUCAAGAUAUAGUCAGGCCCUCGGGGAGACCCGAGCGGAGGAACAAAGUGAAGGGGGUCGGACUCUCCUGUAGAAGCCCGCUUCACCCGAAUUCCUCCUGGCCGGUCUCUCACAAGACCGGUGAUCAA
RNAcentral lists this ribosomal RNA (2081 nucleotides) under Chaetothyriales sp. MP-2014. RNAcentral's name for it is "eukaryotic LSU rRNA". The stretch from base 717 to 2081 matches the Rfam family "Eukaryotic large subunit ribosomal RNA", at positions 1 to 1392 of the family's 3401-position model. The record is from RNAcentral. Lineage: Eukaryota; Fungi; Ascomycota; Eurotiomycetes; Chaetothyriales.